CCUACGGGAGGCAGCAGUGGGGAAUAUUGCACAAUGGGGGGAACCCUGAUGCAGCGACGCCGCGUGAAGGAUGAAGGAUUUCGGUAUGUAAAGCUCUAUCAGCAGGGAAGAAAAUGACGGUACCUGACUAAGAAGCCCCGUCGAACUACGGUCCAGCCGCCGCGGUAAUACGUAGGGGGCCAGCGUUAUCCGGAUUUACUGGGUGUAAAGGGAGCGUAGACGGCGGUGCAAGCCAGAUGUGAAAGCCCGGGGCUCAACCCCGGGACUGCAGUUGGAACUGGGCUGCUUGAGUGUCGGAGAGGCAGGCGGAAGUCCUAGUGUAGCGGUGAAAUGCGUAGAUAUUAGGAGGAACCCCAGUGGCGAAGGCGGCCUGCUGGACGAUGACUGACGUUGAGGCUCGAAAGCGUGGGGAGCAAACAGGAUUAGAUACCCGAGUAGUC
RNAcentral lists this ribosomal RNA (440 nucleotides) under uncultured bacterium. RNAcentral describes it as "partial 16S ribosomal RNA". It matches the Rfam family "Bacterial small subunit ribosomal RNA", at positions 338 to 795 of the family's 1533-position model. The record is from RNAcentral.